UACGGAGGAUGCAAGCGUUAUCCGGAAUGAUUGGGCGUAAAGCGUCCGCAGGUGGCUGUGUAAGUCUGCUGUUAAAGAGUCUAGCUCAACUAGAUACAAGCAGUGGAAACUACACGGCUAGAGUACGUUCGGGGCAGAGGGAAUUCCUGGUGUAGCGGUGAAAUGCGUAGAGAUCAGGAAGAACACCGGUGGCGAAGGCGCUCUGCUAGGCCGUAACUGACACUGAGGGACGAAAGCUAGGGGAGCGAAUGGG
RNAcentral lists this ribosomal RNA (253 nucleotides) under uncultured bacterium. RNAcentral describes it as "partial 16S ribosomal RNA". It matches the Rfam family "Bacterial small subunit ribosomal RNA", at positions 524 to 776 of the family's 1533-position model. The record is from RNAcentral.